Punica granatum (pomegranate) is the source of this 1395-nucleotide non-coding RNA. Lineage: Eukaryota; Viridiplantae; Streptophyta; Magnoliopsida; Myrtales; Lythraceae. The record is from RefSeq and is a predicted model, not a curated record.
ACAAAUUAAAUAAUAAUAAUAAUUAAAAAUAAAAAACACAAAACUUCUGGUUGGGGGUGGGAGAACCCCUGCCGGCCAACCCACCCCCGAUUGACGUCGCCGGUGGGCUCAGAACCCGCCGAUGACCUCGAUCUCCCUUGCCAACCACCCCACUCCCUUCAAUCGAGGUUGGUGGAUAUUAUACGCUGUAGUUUGUGAUAUUCGUAUGUUAUCUACCAUGUUUGGUACUACGAGAGAACAUGUGAAUGGGAAAAAAAAGAAAAAGAAAAGAUAGAUACGUAGGAUUGGCAGGCAGAAUGUUUGGACUCUGGAAUCGAUUACGCUGCCCAUUCGGAGUUUAUCUCCACUCCACUGUAAGUCUGUAACAUAAUUGCUCUUCGUGUGUAUUGCUGCAAUUGUAUGGAUCAUAAUUUGCAGUUGCAGUCACAAUCUUACCGAUGUAUAUCUCUUUGUUUUCCUUUACUUAGGUAAUUCUCUAUGCUGAAAUUUCAUGGUAUUGGGAUAUUCUCAUGCUUGAGUUGUUUGGGAUAAUUAAUUACAUUUUAGAGUAUCAUGGUUCUGCAAUAAGAUUUUUUGCAGGAUCAUAUGUGCUGCUUCGGGUAGUUUGGCACCCCAUUACAUUGCAGGGUGUGGAGUAGCAGAGAGGGAAAAGCUAUUGAAAGCGAAAUUCUUGCUGCUGAGAUAUAUCAAAUCCAUGCAUAUGUUUAAAUGACGCCCCUUGACAAGAGUAAGAGAUAGGCAACACGCAAGACAUUUUGUGCUCAUAGAGGUAUAUUUUGCCGGUGCAUCAUCGAGACAUUGAUGAAGGUUGCAGCAACAUCGGAUGACCAGGCCUUACCUAGAGAUUUGGCAAGCCCUCCGGGCACUGAUCCCUUCUCAGACGAGAUCACCAGAGACAUCUCUGUCCUCCAGCGACAUCGUCCGGGGAGGGAAGUCUGCCGGCUACCAGAGGGGACCCUAGUCGCAAUUACUUUAUUUUUAAAAUUAAAAUAACCAUAACAUUUUGUUAAAAACUAAAAAUAUACAAAAUUAUUAAAUAAAAAAAGGGCAAACUACAAAAACUCUCAUGUGAUUUGAGCUUAAGACAAAUUGGAUCCUGUGGUUUUUUGAUAGAUAAGUAAUAAGAUGUGGUUCACUUUGUGAAACAUAAUGAACCUCACUGCUAAUUUUUUUGUCACUUUUGCCACUCAAAUUUUUUUUAAUCAUUAUUAUCCUCAAACUUUCAACUUUUUUGUAAUUUGAUCCUAAAAUUCGGGAAAAAAAAAUGAAGUGGCUUAAGCCAUCGGUCGGCUAUUUUGACCCCACCACCGAGGUUGUCGAUGUCCACAGAGGACGCCAAAAACCUCGAGAGUGGGGUCGGAUCACCAAUUGGUGGCCCCAACCCCCGAAUCGACC